GAUGAAGAACGUAGCGAAAUGCGAUACUUGGUGUGAAUUGCAGAAUCCCGUGAACCAUCGAGUCUUUGAACGCAAGUUGCGCCCGAAGCCAUUAGGCCGAGGGCACGCCUGCCUGGGCGUCACACGUCGUUGACUCCCCAUCUACUCCUUCGGGAUUGCGGGGGGCGGAUGAUGGCCUCCCGUGCGCCUCGUCGCGCGGUUGGCAUAAAUGCCAAGUCCUCGGCGACGCACGCCACGACAAUCGGUGGUUGCGAAACCUCGGUUGCCCGUCGUGUGCGGUCGUCGCGCAUCGAGGGCUCGAAAAAAUUGUCGGGCUCCGGCUCGGCUUUCAACGCGACCCUAGGUCAGGCGGGGUUACCCGCUGAAUUUAAGCAUAUCAAUAAGCGGAGGA
Molecule: unclassified non-coding RNA, 391 nt
Filed under: soil metagenome
Description: partial contains 5.8S ribosomal RNA, internal transcribed spacer 2, and large subunit ribosomal RNA
Rfam family: 5.8S ribosomal RNA (bases 1-122)
Source: RNAcentral